UCAGAGUUUUCUGAAGUACUUUCUGUCUCACUAUCUGAUGGGUACUCAAGAGAAUAUAUUGAUUCAUUCUCUUCAUCAGAAUAUGCAACUUCAAAGCCUUUUAAAUUAGCAUACUCUAUUGCUUCAUCAUACUCAGCGAUUAAGGCUCUCUUGUCCUUUUUAGGACAUUCAUUUGCAUAAUGUCCUUCUGCCUUGCAAAGCCAACAUCUACAUUUCUUUGUUUCCUUAGAAGAAAAAUUCAUCUUCUUUUUUCUUUUGAAAAAUCUCUUUCUAGGAGAAGUUUGAGACGAUUGUUCUUUCUUAUAUCCAGGCCUUUUCCUGAACUUAUACUUCUUUUUAGAAGCAAAUUUUUUAUCAUGCUUGGUGCUAGAGAACUUUCUUCGGUGUUUUCUUUCUGUAGGAAUAUGACAUCCCCAUUGUGUUGGGGUAUCCAAAAUCUUUGGACACAUACUCUCAACUCCUCUGAGUUGCUUCUUGGCCGUUUUGGAUUUUCUGUUCUCUGUGCGUUGUUUUCUUAGGAGAUCCCUAACUCUUUCUGUAAUUCCUCCUACAGUAAAAUACUGAAGAGGGUUUUCUUCCAAGGAUUGUGCUACUGCGUCGUUCCAGGGUUCUGGCAACUUUCUGUAAUAUGUUCUGAUGAGAUCAUUAUUUUCAAUGUCUCCAAUAGUGCAGUAGUAGCUUUGGAACUCAUUGGUGUAUUCCUCGAAAUACCUCAUGUUACAAAUACUCAAUUUCUGAAUAUUCGCCUUUGCUCUUUCUUUAGAUUGCUCACUAUGCCCUGUGAUAUCUCCGCAAAAUUGUGCGUAGAUAGGCAUUGCAAAAUCUAAAGGACUAUUAGUCUGAGCCAUUUUUGCUGCCCAAUCAGUCCAUUGAGAACUUCUUUUGAAGGACUGGUACCAUUUCUGGACUGGUACCAUUUCUGGACUAUUCCGGUUAAGGUAGACUCAUAAUAUGCAUGAGCUUCCUCAUAAGCAUAUUUGGAUAACACUAGAGCCUGAGUUAGCUUUAGACUAGCAACCCAGUUGUCUAUUGUCUUUCUUUUAUCUCCUACUUGGUCCAGAUCUAGAUAAACCCCUCUUUCGGACACUGACUGUCCCCAUUUGGGUUCUGCAGGGAUAUACUUCUGAGAACUUCGUUCUCCAUAUCUUCUUGUAGGAGCUUGACCUUUUGGAAGCUUGAUAUUCUUUUCACAAAUGAUCUUUGUAGGAUUGUUGGUGAUGUUCUGUAUUACAGUAUGUCCACUUUCUGGAGGAGUUUGCCUAUCACCAUCUAUGUCCAUCGACACUCCCGAUGGCUCUGGUUCUUCUUUUGCUGCUUGAUAAGGAAGAAUCUUCCUCUUUUUCUUUCCAAGUUGAACUUGAGAAAUUUCAUUUAUGAUUUUCUCUAAUUCUUCUGGGGAAUCACAAGUCUCUGCUUGUGCAUAUAAUUCUCGUAAUUCUCUUGCUUGGAACAUUCUCAUAGGCCUUUUAGUAUCCUCUUCUUCAAGGGAUUCCUCAUUAUAAACUGAUUUAGUUCCAGAGGUACUAGCUUCUUCAUAAUUAGCAAAUGAAUGCCUAUGAAACUGCAAGCUUACCUUUCCUCCCAUGUCUUCAUAGAUUGAAGCAUUAGAGCUUUCAAGCUGUCUGACAGGAGGGGUGUAACACCCCGGACCAAAUUUUACCUAUUUACCAGGUAUUCUACGGGUUACUAAAGAAUUUAACCGUGCUCGGUAACUUGGUAAGUUAACAUUCAAGCUUAUUUUUAAGUUUUACUCAAAUUGUCAAAUCCUUCUUUUAAGGCCAUGAUUCCGUUGUACUUGUUGACACGAGUUCACCGUGUCUUCGAUUAUUUUUCAGUGCUUCGAGGUAUUGUCUACGUUUUCUAAAGGUUUGGGAUUAGAAUUGAUUUUUUGAAAUUAGAGUAUAGCAUUUAAUCUUGGCUGUUAGAUCUUUAGGGUUUUGAUCUCCUCCAUUGAUUCAAGUAUAGAAGUAUAAGAGGGGAUUGACUUUGUCAAAGCCAAUUACGGGCGUUGACCCGAGCCCGGACUGCUCACUCUUCCUCUCCGCCUGCCUCCAUCAUCUCCGACGUGGUGACGCCGAUUCUGGCCACCACUUGCUACAAAAAACACCACCAAAUCAUUCCCCUCAUUCUUCUCUUCAAAACCCAGUCUAUUGAUCUCAAUUGCAACGCGAUUCGGUGGUGAUCGGUCGAAGGGUAGCUCGACUGUGUUUGCCGAUUUCCUGCGUUUUUCCAACGAGUUCAUCGGACACCGAUGGUAAGUCUCAGCUCGCCUUUCUCUUCUCUUCAUCUAUGUGUCUUUGUUUCUUAAAAUCGAACCUUAAUCUCAAAAUCCCUUUUUCUCUGCCUCUUUCUGGGUUCCGGGUUCCUAGCUUCGGCGACGUAGUUCAGUGGUUUCCGACGAGCGCUUCGAGUUUUGGUGAGUCCUUAAAGCCUUGCGGGGAGUCCAGUUGCCUUGGAGUGACUUGUGGAGCUGCAACCAUUGAACUGGACCAAGGUAGAAGCUUGGUGCGUUUUGGCUAGAGGGGACCCGAGGUGGUGUGGUGCUGAUUCGGUGGAGGUGGCGCCUAAGGCAGCAGCUGGGGAUGUUUGGAAGUCCUCCAUGUUGAGGUUUGGCAAGGAGGAGCUUCUAGUUUUCGAAGAAGAACAAAUUGAAGGUAAGCUUGAUGUUUCAGCUUCUGUGUUAUGUUGUAGUGAGGUUUGAGUACGGGUUAGGUGUUUUGGUGUUGUUGCUCGGUGUUAUUUGGAGAUGGUUAAUGUCUGUUUCAUUGUUGUGGUUGAUAUUUGUCGAUAACUUGUUGAUAGGAGUUUAUGGGGAGGUUAUGGCAAAAUUCCGGCAAGUCGCCGGAAUCCGGCAAGAGAGUCCGGCGAGGGCAGAAUCAGGCAAAGACUAUUGAGGUAGUUAUCGACAUUUUUCCAUGCUGUUGUGUAUCGUUUCAGUAAUAUGAAAGUUUGUAGGUUGUAGUCGGAAAUCUUUCUAAGUGAGGAGAGUUUCUAUUUUAGGAAACUUUAUAUUUAUGAGAAACCCUUUUUGGGUGCCCUUAGUAAAUUAGUUGAUGUGUUAAAGGCAUGGAAAUUGUUUGUGACUUCGAUUGCCGGUUAAGGUUUGGUUUGGAACCGAAUAAGUUUUAGAUGCGAAGUUAUUAGAAAAUGAUUCUAAAUAUCUAUUGGUCAACCAUGGGUCAAACUUGGUCAAUUCUAGUCAACCUAGGAAAUCCUAGUCAAACUAGGAAGAAGUCGAUUCGUUAAUGUUGAUGGAGUCCGGUCUGACCAAUUUAUUCUUCUGUUUAUCGUCAGUCGUGGGAUUGGUUAGAGAGUGUGAUUAAUUAGAGGCAGCGCUCGAGGAGUAUUCCGGACAUUGGAAGGUUUAAGCCUAAUACUGUGAGUGGACUUUUGUUUUAAAUAAUAUGCAUGCUAUGGUUCAUGAAUGAACAAUUAAUUUCGUGGAGCAUUUUGACGUCAUUUUAAUUUUUGACAAUCUUAUUUCUCUUGGAGAGUUACCGAAAAUGGGAUUUUCGGUGGAUAUAAAUAUGUAAUUAUGAGAGAGUAUGUAUAUAACAGCUAGCUAGCCCUAUGUGUCUGUCCACCUUAAUGGCAUAGCAUAUAGCCGCAUUAUGGUGUGACGUGAGCGUUGGACGCGAGCGUAGUAGUCUUAUAUGAGUGUUUAAUUCAUAUAGGGGGUAUGGGCACAUAUUUAUACACCCGUCUGUCCACCUUAAUGGCGUAGUGUAGCACCGCAUUAAGGCGUGACGUGAGCGUUGAACGCGAGCGUAGUAGCCCUAUAUAGACCCAUGAAUUUAUAUAGGGAGUAUGGACGUGUGUAAAUACAUACAUAUAUUAUAGAGCCUAAGAGGCUCGAUAUUUAUGAGAUAAAAGUUUUAUCGCUUGCAGCAUGCAUUCGAUUUUCCUUAAAAAUUGUUUUGGGGAAACAUAAAUAUUUUAUUUAUUAAUUUAUUUUUGUCCACUCACUCUAACGUUUUCAAAUGUUUUCCCCUGGGCCCUUCGUUCUUAAAAAUGCCCAGUUUGCAGGAUUGCAUAGUUGAGGUCGGGCGUACAUAGAGAAGAGGCAUAGUCAAUAGUAUAGUUUCCGCUCAUUUCUAUAUUUCUAGUUCUUUUCCUCUCAAUUAGAAUUGCUCUGAACUGUGAUUAUUGCUUGUGGGAUUAUUCUUAUUAAGGUUGGAUUGGGAUUAUCAGAAGUGUGUGCAGGUUUUAUUAGGAAGGGUUGUCCAUUCAUUUCUAUAUUUCUAGUUCUUUUCCUCUCAAUUAGAAUUGCUCUGAACUGUGAUUAUUGCUUGUGGGAUUAUUCUUAUUAAGGUUGGAUUGGGAUUAUCAGAAGUGUGUGCAGGUUUUAUUAGGAAGGGUUGUCCAUUUUCAAGGGAGGUUAAGCCGAAUUUUUCGGUAAACUUUCCUUGGAGGUGGUCCCCGCAGGAUUUACUUCGGAUUUCAGGGUGAAAUUCGGGGUGGGUCUUGACAAGGGGUCAGGUUCCAUUCUCUUGGGAAUGUUACUUCAUGCCAUUUCGUGACAUUUUUUCUUGAGAAUUAUUUUUUGGGUUGGUGAGAACAGAUGUAGUAAUUCCAGGGCUGUUUAGAAACCUGGUAUUAGGGGUUACAUUUGAACUCAUCAACUUAUAAUAGAUUCGAUAAUCUAUCGCUAGUUCCAUCAUUCCUUUUUUCAUAGAAAUCUCAUCUGUCUUGAUUCUCAGUUUAAGACAGUGAGCAGCAUCCCUAAGAUGCGUUGUGAAGUUUGGAAAAACAUUAAAAUAUGCAACUUGAUUGCACAAAGAAGCUUCUACUGUUCCUAACAGACUUUUCUUGAAAUCUGUUAUUCUAUCGUCUUUUAGGACACAUAGGACAGAACAGUCAAUAUCAUCUCUAGCUAAGAGCUUUAUUCCUACCUGUACUGCACCUAUAUGCAUAUAGGAAUAUUUUUUCUGGAAAGCUUCACUUACUUCUUUUGGAGUUAUCACCCUGAUAUCUGUUUCUCCACCUGUGGCUAGAACUGUUAAUUCAAGAAUCUUGAAUCUGUGAGAAUCCAUAAUAAAGGAUCCUUUCUUAUAUAUCUCAUUGAACCUAAAUCUAG
This 5077-nucleotide long non-coding RNA is filed under the name Fragaria vesca (wild strawberry). RNAcentral's name for it is "long non-coding RNA (FVES_LNC000724)". The record is from RNAcentral. Lineage: Eukaryota; Viridiplantae; Streptophyta; Magnoliopsida; Rosales; Rosaceae.